Ostrea edulis (European flat oyster) is the source of this 413-nucleotide long non-coding RNA. RefSeq lists it as uncharacterized. The record is from RefSeq and is a predicted model, not a curated record. NCBI's taxonomy places the organism in Eukaryota, Metazoa, Mollusca, Bivalvia, Ostreida, Ostreidae. The transcript is spliced from 2 exons.
ACUCCCGUUCCGUGACGCGUGGCACGCGCUACACCUGAUCUCUACCUGAGUUUACCUGAGAGGUAAGGACUAGCUGCGUUCCCACACUACUCUAUUUUAAGAUCGGAUCACUGGUGUCAGCGACAGGUGGUGGGUGAGAGGGACGAGAGGGGGACAAAUGAACCGAAUUUCUGACGAGGAGAAUUCCGAUACAGAAAAUGGCGCCAAACGUUCAUUUCUCAAAAUUCCGCAAAGAUGUUAUGUCGAUUGGUCCAAGGGCGCACAUGCUGUACAGUCCGGCCAGUGGUCAGUUGAGCCAUGAAAACCACCACUGAUCACAGCAUUUCUUGAAAACAAUCAAAUAUUAAAACACUAUAAGUGACAUACUUAUGAUUUAUGAUAGUGUUCAGGAAUAAAACAAGAUGCGCACGAUA